This 69-nucleotide transfer RNA is filed under the name Marmota monax (woodchuck). Its description in RNAcentral is "tRNA.Ala". The record is from RNAcentral. Lineage: Eukaryota; Metazoa; Chordata; Mammalia; Rodentia; Sciuridae.
GGAUAUAGCUCAGUAGUAGAGUACUUGCCUAGCAUGUGUGAGAGCCUGGGUUCAAUCCCCAAUAGCACA